Molecule: long non-coding RNA, 2512 nt
Filed under: Equus asinus (donkey)
Lineage: Eukaryota; Metazoa; Chordata; Mammalia; Perissodactyla; Equidae
Description: lncRNA (ENSEASG00005028393.1)
Source: RNAcentral
UAAUGGUUCUUUGUAUACUGUAGAUACAAGUGUCAGGUAUAUGAUUUCCAAAUAUUUUCUCCUGUUCUGAGUUGUCUUUUCACUUUCCUGAUGGUGUUCCUUGAAACAUGGAAGUUUUUAAUUUUGAUGAUGUCCAAUUUAUCUGUUUUUGCUUUUGUUGCUUGUGCUUUUGGUGUCAUAUCUGAACAUGCAUUUUUAAACGAUGAACUUACUUGAUGAAACACUUUUCCUUUGGAUACUGGAUCCAUCAGAUUGGGUACAGGCGACAUGUUUUUUGUCUCAACCACUCACUCCUUGAAGAGGAUCUCAGGUGCAGUUUUUAAGGCAGCACCAACUAGUUUACUUUUAGAUAUUUUAAUUGGAAGUAAGUUUAAAGGUAUUUUCAUAAAACUAAUCCAGCUUUUAUAACAAAAUGUGACCUUGUAAUGUAGUUUUGUAUGUUUAUGGUAAAAACUUGUUAUUUCUUACUUUAUAGGUACUAAAAAGUGUACUUUUGCAGUUUCAGAAUGUAACUCUCAUGCCUUAUUUUGAUUAGUAUUAAGCCUCUUCUUUAUGCUAAGAAGAUGGCGAUUAAUUUAUUGCAGGUUAAAAGACAGUAUCCAAACUAUUACUAUCUUAAAAGUUAAUAUUUCUAAAAUUUUUGAAUGCCACUAAUUGAUAACUGAGAUUUUUAGAGAUUUAAACUGAUUUAUUUUUGGUUAUACACAGAAAGUUAAAUUUUUUCUUUAUUAUUGUAGUUUUAAAUUUCCUCUUUUUUUCCCUGGAUAAUUAAUGUACAGGGCAUGGCUUGCUGAUAAGUAUGACUAGAGUUUUACAAAUUAAUCUUAGCAGGGUUCCUUCCAUCCUUUAAUGUCAGUGCUGUAAAUUGUUCUCACAUAAUUCCUGUUAUUCUGGCAUUAUAUCUUAUGUAGAUAUAAAUUCUUAUUUUGUAGGUGAAAAGGAAUAUGGUUCAAUAGGAUUCAAGAGCUUAAAAAUUGCCCUCUUUCACAUUUCUAAUAAGUAAUAACUCUUUUAAAUUCAAGUCAGUAAUUAUAAAGGAAUGAUAAUGGAAUCUGUUAGCUAUUUGGAAAAAACAAAUCUUAUUGUAUUUAUAAUAAAUGUGAAUGACUUGCUAUUUAUUUUGGAAAGAAUUCUAUAUUUAGACCCUAGAAAGACUCGGCAUUUCAUAAUUAAAUUAAAGUUAGUAGAAGCUGGAACAGUUUCUAGGAAUGUCAUAAUAUGCUGUAGGGGAUAGUAGUACUUUUAAAGGUUCUGACAUUCAGCCAGUAAGGUGUUUCUAUUUCCAAAUAAUUACGCCCCACCCUAAAUAGAUACAAGAAGUAUUUUUGGUAAAUCUGCCAAGCUUUAUGUGAUUCUCGUUGUAUCAUUGAAGGUGGCUAAAUAAUAUUAAUAUUUUAAGUGAUAGUUAUUCAGCUUACCACUUGACAUUACCACUGUUGAGCAUGGGUAGUGAGUUUCAUUGUCCAGAGAAGGCUCUUACAUUUUGCUUUGUCAGUAUAUCAUAACCUUUUUUAAGGGCAUUGCCAAGAAGGGAAGAGGCUGCUACUUCAGGCAGUGUAUUUGACUUUGGCAUUCUCACAGGUACAUUGUUUGUGAAGCGGUUCCGAUCUCUUGCUUAAGAAAUUGGGAGCUAGGCUGCUUCCUGUGGUUCUGUUGCUCUGGAGGUGCCUGAUUCCUAAUGAAGGCCAAAAUGCGCAGAAUUGAUGGGGCCAGUUAUUGCAGAUGACUGGAGCCUAAGCUUGAAAGAAAAAGAAGCUGUGGUGUGAACUCGAUUUAAUCAUACUUCUGUCCCUUUUAAAUUGCUGGUGCUGCAGAAGCCUCCAACCCUGAAGAGCCAGCAGUGCAAGAAAAAAAGCUUCAAGGAAAGUCUGUUCCCCCUAGCCAAAGGACUGGGAAAGAGGACGGUCUAAGAAAAAAAGACUUUGUCUGCACUUGCUCUGCUCCAGCCAACCACCGAGGGAACUCCUCCCUUGACACAUUUUCAGCUGGGCUGAGCAAGGAGUUGGCUUUCUACUCCCCUCAUUCCCUACCCCCUUGAAAGCAGGUAGCAUGCUCUAGUCCCCUGCUGGAGUUUGGAGGGAGCUAAUCUUCCAUUCUCUGCCUGGUAGAAGCAGGUGGCACUUCAAUUUUCCUACCAGGUGGUGUCAACAGGGCCAACCAGCUGCAAUGAGAUUUAACCAGGUGGUGCAAGUAGGGGCUAAUUACUGCUAGGAUUGAUAUGCUCUUCCCUCCAGCCCCCCAGUAGUCUCCUAGGGAGGCACUGAGCCUCCGUACCCACUGGCAUCAAGAAGGUAGAAUGGAUGGAGGGAGGCAGAGCUUGUUGGUGCUCCACUUUCCCCUUUUCCUCUUCUGGUAUAAUGGGACUCAUUAGGGUGGAGCAACUUUGCAGCAAUGAAGUGACAUGACUUAGCCCUUGGGUUUUCUCUCCCUGGUGGCAGCUUGGUCCAAGAAGAAGCUGACCUUCUCACGUGGAGGCAACGGAAAUGGUGAAUUGGAGCCACACUUUUUCCAG